GACGAACGCUGGCGGCGUGCUUAACACAUGCAAGUCGAACGGUGAAGCUCCAGCUUGCUGGAGUGGAUCAGUGGCGAACGGGUGAGUAACACGUGAGCAACCUGCCCCUGACUCUGGAAUAAGCGCUGGAAACGGCGUCUAAUACUGGAUACGAGAAGGGUCCGCAUGGGCACUUUCUGGAAAGUUUUUCGGUUGGGGAUGGGCUCGCGGCCUAUCAGCUUGUUGGUGAGGUAAUGGCUCACCAAGGCGACGACGGGUAGCCGGCCUGAGAGGGCGACCGGCCACACUGGGACUGAGACACGGCCCAGACUCCUACGGGAGGCAGCAGUGGGGAAUAUUGCACAAUGGGCGAAAGCCUGAUGUAGCGACGCCGCGUGAGGGAUGACGGCCUUCGGGUUGUAAACCUCUUUCAGCAGGGAAGAAGCGAAAGUGACGGUACCUGCAGAAGAAGCACCGGCUAACUACGUG
RNAcentral lists this ribosomal RNA (468 nucleotides) under uncultured bacterium. Its description in RNAcentral is "partial 16S ribosomal RNA". It matches the Rfam family "Bacterial small subunit ribosomal RNA", at positions 28 to 507 of the family's 1533-position model. The record is from RNAcentral.